Carica papaya (papaya) is the source of this 1885-nucleotide non-coding RNA. NCBI's taxonomy places the organism in Eukaryota, Viridiplantae, Streptophyta, Magnoliopsida, Brassicales, Caricaceae. The record is from RefSeq and is a predicted model, not a curated record.
CCGCCGCGCUGCUGAUCUACAGCAGUAGCUCCUUCUUUCUCUCUGGAAAGUGCAGAGCAGGACUGACACGCCAUUUUUGGGUGAGUGUCAUUUUACUCCAAAAUUCAACAGAACAAGUUUGAAGUUUUGCAAAUGAAUCAGGAAGUUGGAGAUCACCAGGUAGAGAACUAGAAAUCCCAAGGCUACAAAUACCUGGAGGGUUUAAGUUGACAAACGAUGAAUUUUGGCCGCUUUCAAGGAAGCCAUACUUGCAUUUUAUUAUUUGGAGGACACACGUCAGACCAUAUUAUCUGCUGGUUCCUCCAGCCCAAACUGCAGCAUUUUCUCCCAACUGAAGCAAUCCUACUAUUCUCACAUACAAGAGUAAGAGUUGGGAAAUUGUUUACCAUGGAGAACAUAAACAACCUAAAAUUUUUGACAGAAACUGGAAACAUUUUGUGGUUGACAAUGGGUUUAAGGUUGGAGAUGCUUGUGUAUUUGAGCUUAUGGAAAACACAAGAAGAUUCUCAAAUUCAAAGUUCACAUUCUCAGAGUUGACAUUCUGUUAUCCAUACUUGUGGCCGUGUAUGGGACUUGAAGCAGGACAAAUUUGCUCAUGACUUAACGGUGAGAAUUGGGUAUGGAUGUGACAUUACAGCAGGCAAUAUUCUUAUUGAUAUGUAUGGAAAGUGUGAUGACCUAUUAGCAGCACAUGCAGUAUUUGUGGGAAUGGAACAGAAGGAUUCCGUGUCUAGGAAUUCAUUGAUCAGGGGCUAUAGUAAAAGUCGUAAAUUUGAAGAAGGGUUAAAACUUUGUAUUAGCAACCUAGAAGAUAAUGAGCUGGCUUUUGACAGCAGUUUGGAGACCUUAACUUGGGGAAAGAAAGCUGGAGAUAAAUUUGAUUUUAACUGCUGCAGCCGAGAUGAAUUUCUCCUUGUGGAUGCAGAACUUGGUGACUAAUUUAUCAUGAGGUGGUUAGGUUUCUUUAAUAACUGGAGCACCUGAAAAGUCUUGCAACCAACCUGAUAACCGAGGAAAUCUCUGCUCAUCGACAAUUUUGAUGCUGGUUACCCCUUCAAUAACUCCAAGCAAGUGAGCAAGCCAACCCGAUGCAAGAUCCACGAACCCGAUCUUGUCUCCACCAAAAAAUUUCUUUCCUUGCAGCUCUUCUUCUAAGAAUUUCAAAUUUUCAGCAGCUGCAGCCAGAGCUUCCUCUUGCUCUUGUCCUUGGCUUGUAAAUGAAGACCGUAUUGUUGCCAGCACCUGAUGGAAUCAACGAACAGAAGCGUGCCUUGGCGCUGUCAUGAGGAUCUUGAGGCAGCAAAGGAUACUGUUUCCAUAUUUCGUCUAUGUACUCAAUAAUGACAAGUGACUCAAACAGUGGGUUUGCCAUUGCGAAUGAGGACAGGGAUCUUCUUGUAAACAGGAUUGAGUUGGAGAAGAAGAGGACUUUUGUUGGAGAGAUCUUCUUCUAUUGUUUCAUACUCUAUGCUUUUGAGUUUCAAUGCCCACACCACUCUUAAACUAAAUGGGCUUGACCAUGCCUGCAACAGCUUCACUUCUUCCCCCAUACUUCACUGCCUUGCAUAUGUAUCUCCUUCCCAGAAUUGCUACAUGUGUGUGUGUAUAAAUAGUAGAAGCCAAAUCUCAAGGGAAAGAUUCGAGAGUGCCUGGGAGAGUUCAAUUGACUUUGAUGCAUCACUCGCAUGAAUGGCUUCUUGGAUCUAUCAUUGUCUGCCAGUCAAAAGUCCCAUGCCAAAAGUAAGAGCUGCAGUCGAGAUGAAUUUCUCCUGGAGGAUGCGGAACUUGGUGACUAAUUUAUCAUGAGGUGGGAAGCUUUCUUUAAUAACUGGAGCACUUGAGAAGUCUUGCAACCAACCUGAUAACCGAGGAAAUCUCUGCUCAU